RNAcentral lists this long non-coding RNA (1431 nucleotides) under Brassica rapa (field mustard). Its description in RNAcentral is "long non-coding RNA (BRAP_LNC003456)". The record is from RNAcentral. Lineage: Eukaryota; Viridiplantae; Streptophyta; Magnoliopsida; Brassicales; Brassicaceae.
AAACACUUAAAACAAAGUAAUAGUCUCAAUUUUCUACCGAGUUACACAAACACAAAAACAAAAUAAUCUCAAUUUAUAUAAAGUUUGACAAACUUAAAUGGAAACCUUUCACUAAGUUUUACCUAGUUAAACAAACAUAAAUAACAAAAUUUUACUGAAAUAACAAGUUACACAAACUUGUUUUACACAUCCCCAACAACCUUUUUCCAUUACCACUUCCACUGUCCUUCUCAUUUGUGCCCUAGCCAACACUCUUUUUUAUAUCUCUCCACUACCUGAACCACCAUCCUUUUCACUUUGUUCCAUGUCUACAACAUCAGAGGUUUUAAGGCUUCACUUUCGUUCUUUAAAAGUUGCACUUCAUAAAAAAGUGUAUUUAAGUGUAUCAAAUUAAUCAUCAUCAUAAAAUUGCACAAAGUAUUACUAAGUUAUACAAUCCAAAUCAGUUGAAGUUUUUUACUAAAUUGUACAAAGUUUAUAGUUACAUCAAGUUUUACUAAGGUAUACCAUUCUGAGUUCGUUUUUCUCCUAUUUUGCUGGAUAAUUCAUUAUUUUUCUCGUCUCUUAUUGAAAGAUUAUCCUUUCUCUAGUAAGAGUGAAAAAGAAUCGGAAUGAUUGAUUUGGUUUAUCGAAAAAGGAAGACAUAUGAAGAAUGAGAAGACCUUAAAAACACUUAGUCAAUUUUAGAUUCUUAGGACUGAAUCUGGAUUUAACGGCUCUGGGUAUGGUUUUGGGUUUGGUAGUCUACUGGUUAACUUUUAAUAUUUUUUUUAGGUGGUCUUUUAAUAAUUUUUGUGAUUCAAAUAAAUAUUAAAUCUAUACUAAUAAAAUAGACCAUUUGAGGCUCCAUGGGAUGUCCACAUAAGAUAAAAAAAAUUCUUCUGAAAAAUACCACGUGGCAGUAUUACUAAAAAAUAAAAAUAAAAAUAUAAAAUAAGUAAAUAUAAAAUAUUAGAAAAAAUAAAUAAUAAGUAAAUAUAAAUACAAGAAAAAUAACUAAUAUACAAUAUAAGAAAUAGAAAAACUAAAUUAAGCAUCUAUCUCAAAAUAUAUAGUAAAAUAAAUAAUAAGUAAAUAUAAAUACAAGAAAAAUAACUAAUAUACAAUAUAAGAAAUAGAAAAACUAAAUUAAGCAUCUAUCUCAAAAUAUAUAGUAAAAUAAAUAAUAAGUAAAUAUACAACAAAAAAAUAAAAAAAAUAUUACAUUAAACAUCUAUUAGAAUAUUAGAAUAAGUAAAUAUAAAAUACAAUAAAAAUAAGUAAUAAGUAAAUACAUAAUAUAAAAAAUAGAAAACAACAUUAAAUAUCUAUCUGAAAAAUGUAUAAUAAAAUAAAUAAUAAGUAAAUAUAUUGUAUAAGAGAUCGAAAUAUUACAUGAAACAUCUACCGUAAUACAGUUAGAUAUAAAAGCAAAACAAUUAGAAUAAGUAA